AUGGGCCGGCCCAGCCUGGCGCGGGGGGUAUGCGCCCGUUUGCGUGCAGCGAAGGAACGGGCGCAACGGGCGCCGUUUAGGAUUUGCCCUGCAACCGCCCCCAAUGAUGCCUGCGACUCUGGUCUUGGGAUUUCGGUCUACUGGGCCUGGAUCCGGGAGGCGGCAGAGGCGGCUCCGGCCCCCACAGCUCGACAGGAGGAAGAGGAGGAAGGAGGUUUAGUCCGCUACAUCCCCGUCAAGGCCUACUCCCUCUCCAUCAGCGACUUGGUAAAUCCAUCCACAUGGUCACUAAACUACAUUGCGCUGCUGAAGAACGACAUAUUUUGCUGUCGCUAUGUGGUUCUCUUCCAAUAUGGUUCUGUUGUGCUCUUCAAUGUAUAUAAUCAGGAAUCUUGCUUUUGGGAUGAUUAUGCAGUAGUUGAGAAGCCAUCCCAGACAACUUGGAUGAAAGGAGGUCUUGAUUAUAUAGUUCAUAAAAGUUUACACAUGGAUGGAAUUCGGAUCAUUUCAAGUGUUCCUGAUCAAAGCAUCGCUCUUGAUCAUUGCAUACGGCAGGUCGAUGAUAUGGUUGAGGAGUUUACUGAAAUUAAUCGUAUCAUGAAGAAGACUGGGGACUUCACAAUGAAAAGGAAGAAGCUCUUUCAACUUAUGGGCAAGGCUAAUUCUAAUCUUGCAGAUGUUAUCAUUAGACAUGGCCUAUUUCACCGUGUCACCAUCCUUGGUUCUGAAGUAAUUCGUGAGGCAUCUCUUGCCAUAACAAUCUGGUUCUUACGCGAGUAUUGUCUACUAAGACGCCAUGUUGCUAGACAUAUUCUGUUUUUUCUGGAAGCAAUUCAUCCCAAAUUUUCAGCUGAGCCGCAUUGCAUUUUUAUCCUGAAUCUCCGCAAUCGAUCAUUUUUUCAAAGAUUUAUUGCAUUUAUGAGACACAUUUACCUCAUUUGA
This 942-nucleotide ribosomal RNA is filed under the name Triticum aestivum (bread wheat). RNAcentral's name for it is "partial small subunit ribosomal RNA". Lineage: Eukaryota; Viridiplantae; Streptophyta; Magnoliopsida; Poales; Poaceae. The record is from RNAcentral.